RNAcentral lists this long non-coding RNA (1670 nucleotides) under Pogona vitticeps (central bearded dragon). RNAcentral's name for it is "lncRNA (ENSPVIG00000015695.1)". The record is from RNAcentral. Lineage: Eukaryota; Metazoa; Chordata; Lepidosauria; Squamata; Agamidae.
CACCCUGAAAUCAUGUGAGCUUUCUACAUCCUCUGUUGCAUCUUUCAUUAAGGUGGUAUGGAACUUUCCUCUUUUGCAACAGGAGGUCUUCAGCGUGCCCUCCUGAAUGUCCUCUUGAUCUCCAGCCUCUUCCAAGGUCACCUCUGCUCUCUGAGUGGCAUCUGCUAAUGUAGGAGGGACAGAUACAGGGAAGAGGGCUGUGUUUUCUGGCAAUCCCAGGCAGGGGGCUGCAAUGCUCAGGAAAUGAAUUUGGUCCUCUGCUUAUUUCAAAAUAGACUUUGGAUGAUGAAGGAUUUAUGUGGCCCUCCCCCACCACAGACUUCAAAUAAAAAGUACAGAGGUAUGUAUUUCAUUGCUGCUCUCACGCCUCACACCUCUUUCACUGAAGCAAGGAUCAUUAUUGUAAAUACUUGUCAUCUACAUAUAAGAGACCACCUUAAAUAACAUGAACAGUCAAUAUUUUCGCCCUGAAGUACUUGCAUGUGAGACUAGUGAACUUAAGAGCUUCUGGGAAAAGACAAUUGAGAAACAAACUCAACAUCUGGAAGCUGAAAAACACCGGAAACAAAGAAGUGCACUGGACAAACUCAGAAAUGAAUGGCGAGAAAGGCUGGAAAAGAGAUUAAAAAUGCUCCAAGAACAGGAUGAGAAGGAAGAAUCCCCUAAAUGAAGAGAACAUCAUGCUUUUUAGUGUGUUUGGUAGUAAUGGCUUAAAUUAAAAGAAGAAAGUUUGUGUUGAGGCAAAACUGUCACAUCUGGCUUGCAUUCAUUUAGAAAUUUCACUGAGUUUUUAUGGGAGCUACCUGAAUGUACUAUGGUCUGAUUACUUAUUUGGCAAGUUCGUCUUCAAACUAUCAGACGGUUUCGCUUUUACAUUUUCCCCACAGCUUUCUUAUUAAUUGUCUGAAAUGCUAUCCUGACUGUUAAUUCUUCUUGUUGAAAUUGUGAGAUUGUGAGGUUGUAGAUUUUUAACAUUCAUUAUGAUCCUAGAUGGCAAACUGCCCGCUUGAUCGUUUUUCACAUACUUCUGAUAUGCCAUUUUACAGCUUUUCAUCAAAAUUAUAUACAGCCACAGAUAUGUUCCUCAAAGAAAUUAUUCACUCAUGGCCUUUUAAGGUGAAGAGUCUAGUCAGCACUUCCUUCACUCAAUUUGAGUUUAACAUAUCUCCAUGGUCAUCACCACUAACUAGAUAAGCAUGUGGUCUUCAAGAACAGCCGUAGAUCCUAUGUUUUGAAAUAUAUCCCUUUACAAUAUUGAAUAGCAUGAGCUAAAUGUAUGCUAGUUCCAAUCACGGUAGACCCAUUCAAAUGAUUAUUAAUAACUAAUUACUUAUAUAUUUCUUUGAGUUCAGUGGGUGUACUCUUAGCACAGGAGAUAAAGCACCAACCAUGAGGCACCCAAAACUUUGUCUUUCAGCAAAGAAAAUGUUUGGAGAUCUUAGCAAGAAUGGCAAACAAGUUGCCACACUUGCUACCAGCCAUCUGAUGCCAUCUUAGGUUGUCCUCUCUUUCUGUGCUUAGUAAUAGAGCCAAUCCUGUUCAAUGGUCAAAAAAAUGCAAGAACUUCAGUGAAGACCAGCAGAUGUGCCACUCAGUGUGUUACUCAUAACAACACUCAGUGGCCUAAAUCCAGCUAUUGAUUCAGACUAUAUUGGCCCAUUGAAUCAAUG